UCAUGUUAGUUCAAUUAAGCAUUUGCUGUUAGUAUUACACAAUAUGCAAUAGUUCAUAUUACAGUUCGCUGAAUUUGAUGAACAGACGGUUUACCACCUAUCACACACAACACCCAGCUCUGACACAGGUAUGAGGGACAUUG
Molecule: long non-coding RNA, 143 nt
Organism: Athene cunicularia (burrowing owl)
Lineage: Eukaryota; Metazoa; Chordata; Aves; Strigiformes; Strigidae
Exons: 4
Source: RefSeq, a predicted model, not a curated record